GAUGAAGAACGCAGCGAAAUGCGAUAAGAAAUGCGAAUUGCAGAAUUCCAGUGAGUCAUCGAAUCUUUGAACGCACAUUGCGCCCUUUGGUAUUCCGAAGGGCAUGCCUGUUCGAGCGUCAUUAUCACCCCUCAAGCCCUCGGCUUGGUGUUGGACGGUUUGGUGGAGGCCCCCUCGGGGGCUCCUGCCCCUCCCAAAGACAAUGACGGCGGCCUCGUUGGACCCCCGGUACACUGAGUUCUUCACGGGACACGUAUCGGACACAUGGGUUUACGGGACACGGUCUGCCUCCCCUCAGGGAGAAUCUUUCUAAGGUUGACCUCGGAUCAGGUAGGGAUACCCGCUGAACUUAAGCAUAUCAAUAAGCGGAGGA
RNAcentral lists this unclassified non-coding RNA (373 nucleotides) under soil metagenome. Its description in RNAcentral is "partial contains 5.8S ribosomal RNA, internal transcribed spacer 2, and large subunit ribosomal RNA". The stretch from base 1 to 121 matches the Rfam family "5.8S ribosomal RNA", at positions 35 to 154 of the family's 154-position model. The record is from RNAcentral.